This 265-nucleotide ribosomal RNA is filed under the name uncultured Archaeospora. RNAcentral describes it as "partial small subunit ribosomal RNA". It matches the Rfam family "Eukaryotic small subunit ribosomal RNA", at positions 605 to 877 of the family's 1831-position model. Lineage: Eukaryota; Fungi; Glomeromycota; Glomeromycetes; Archaeosporales; Archaeosporaceae. The record is from RNAcentral.
UAAAGUUGUUGCAGUUAAAAAGCUCGUAGUUGAAUUUUAGGCCUGACCGGACGGUCCGUCUCUGGCGAGUACUGUUCUGCUGUCGGGUCUAUCCUUCUGGUGAGCCGGUAUGCCCUUAUUGGGUGUGUCGGGGAACCAGGACCAUUACCUUGAAAAAAUUAGAGUGUUUAAAGCGGGCUUUUGCUUGAAUAGAUUAGCAUGGAAUAAUAGAANAGGACGUUGGUUCUAUUUUGUUGGUCUAGGACCACCGUAAUGAUUAAUAGGG